UCUAGUGAGUUUAUUAGAUCAUUAAUGC
RNAcentral lists this non-coding RNA (28 nucleotides) under Bombyx mori (domestic silkworm). The record is from RNAcentral. Lineage: Eukaryota; Metazoa; Arthropoda; Insecta; Lepidoptera; Bombycidae. RNAcentral also lists the same sequence under 1 other name.